This 200-nucleotide long non-coding RNA is filed under the name Elaeis guineensis (African oil palm). RNAcentral describes it as "long non-coding RNA (EGUI_LNC063124)". Lineage: Eukaryota; Viridiplantae; Streptophyta; Magnoliopsida; Arecales; Arecaceae. The record is from RNAcentral.
CCAUAUUAGAUGAUAUUUUAUCCUAUUUUAAAUCAUAUUCAAAUAAGAAUUAAAUCUGGAAGAAAGAGAAUCCCAAAUAAGGUGGGGCACAAACUGUUGGCACCCCCUUCUCCUUCACGCGUUCAAGAAGAAAAAAAGGGGUGCGUCCCAAUGUACACCCUCCCAUUCUUGGUAUGAAAUCUGGAGAGAGAGUCUCAGAG